RNAcentral lists this long non-coding RNA (7793 nucleotides) under Octopus vulgaris (common octopus). The record is from RNAcentral. Lineage: Eukaryota; Metazoa; Mollusca; Cephalopoda; Octopoda; Octopodidae.
UAUAUAUAUAAACGCCGCCAAACGGAUAAAAGAGCAUGCAAGACUUAAUGUAAAUAAUAAUUCGGUGGUGAGAAAAUGUAUUUAAUUAUAUUUGUCGGUGAUUGAAGAAUUAAAUCAUUAUGAAUAAAAGAAAAUGUUCAAGAUUAUUAAAUUCUCGAAACGUUCGCCUUACGUUGAAACGAUAUGGAUGCAAUGAUGGAUGCAGCAAGACAGAAAUGGUAAGUGGAAUCUUAGAAAUAUUUUCACAUAUCACGUACAUUUUUAAUAUCGACUUUAUUGUGGUUGUCGUUGUGGUUGUUUGUGGUAGUUUUCGCUUUCGUUGUCGUUUUUGUACAUAGUAAUUCUGUGUCAUCCCACGUACGUCUUUAAAACGUAAGGUAGGAAAUAAAUAUAGUGGCUGAGAAAAGAUGGUAAAGUAUUUCAAAGAUUAUAAAUGCCACUAUCAAAUUGACAUACAUACUUAUAGUAAAGAAUAUAUGCAGAGAAAAUCUAGUCCGUUCUCAAUAUCUUGCAAAUCCCAACCGAGAGAAGUCAUCGUCACAUCUCUUAAUCAAGAAUAGUUUUUGAUUAAGAGGCGAAACGAAAGUUAAAUGAUUUUAGCGGUGCUGUUUUUUAACUAUCUAUAGUAAUAGAAAAACGAAACAAAUUAUGUAAGUAGAGCCUAACACCAUCUGUAGAAUAUUGCGCCCGUCAUAAAUAAAUUAUCGAGCAUAUCUUUGUUGGCAGAUCAGCCCAUAUGUGAAUAUAGAAUAUAUACACAAACUUGAGACAAAGGGCAGUUUUUAUACCAGAUCAUCCAUAUAUGGUAGUCUGAUAUAAAAACCAAGAAGUAGCAUAAACAUGCAUAGUAAUGUAGCAAACAAGGUGUUUGAUGGGAGCUUAAAUAAAAUAACAAAAAAAAAAGACAUUGAAACCGUACCACGAGUUACAACUUUAAACAGUCGUUCGCAGGAAGGACCCUUUUGAAUUUGCACAUCUUGGUAAAUAACAGUCGCAUCUUCCUCAAAUGACACACCACGGUCUCUUUUUGAAAAGUAAUAAAAUGUAUAAUGUAAGUUCUCGAGAAAUAUUAUUUGAACAAAUAAGAUUGUCAAAAAUGUACAGCCUUUGAUAGUAGGUUUGACAUAAAGCAAACCACUCCGAGCAUAGUCCAAAACACACAACUGCGAGAAAGCGCCAGUAUUUUACGCAUGUCACAUUCAGUUCAAUCUCAUAUUUCCAAUACUGAGUUUUGGGCUCAACGUAUACAACAAAUAAAAUGUAUAUAAUCAUGACAUGACGUAAUUCCGAAACUGAACUUCCCUCUUAACGUUCUGGGUUUACAUUCCACCGAGGUCGACUUUGCCUUUCAACAUUUUAGGGACGAUACAAUGAAUAACAGGUGAUCAGUCGGGGUGGGUUUGAGGGGCUUGUGCCUACAGGAGAAAGACUUAUUCGAGGUUUGUGCCUACAAGAGAAAGACUUAUUACAAAACAUAACAACCACAAACAGAUUAUAUAACACAGCAUCACAGCAUAUGCACUUAUGUAGUCUACAAUGUUUGACACCAUUAGCAGCGCCUGUACAAUGCUCUCUGUUGAAAAGUACCAUCAAAUAAUUCAUAGCUAAUGAGAAACUUUUAUAACAUCAACAGAUGUACUCCGUCGGUUACGACGACGAAGGUUCCAGUUGAUCCGAUCAACGGAUCAGCCUGCUCGUGAAAGGAAAAGGAAUUGAGACGUCGAUCGGACGACUUAAGUAGAGUAAAGUCAAGAACGCCAUCAAAAUUAGAAAGUACGAAGAAAAAGAAACUGAUUUGAGCAAAAUCAGGUUGUUUUCACCCAAGCCAGAAAGUUAUCUACUUACAUAUUAUAUAAGUUACACACACACACACACAUAUAUAUAUCUGGUUUUGUUAUACAUAUACGUAUUACAUAUAUCACAAAGUGUUAUAUAUCCCUAAGGGAUGUAAGUGAAAUUAUAAGAAAGCAAGCAUUUUUCUGUGGCGUGGGAGAAUGCCAGGCAUGCUAAUUAAGCAGAAUGUAAAUAAAAUCUAAGGGGAAAAUAUCGCUGUAAAUGUUGAGGUGUAGAAAAUAUUUUGAUUUGGCAAAAGCAAAUAUUGGAAAAAGAAAAAAUUUAAAGUAACAAAGUGGGAAGCUGCUGUUUCUGCUUCUGCUGCUGCUGCAGAUCUUGUCCAUGGUUACUGACUGAAAGAGUUUACAAAUCGCUGUAAAAGCAUAUUGAGGCAGCAAAAGGAAUAACACCAAUUGGUGGAUUCAAGGACAGACUUCCUAAUAUCGAAGCAGAAACUGAAAGGAAACUAACAAAAGGCUUCAAUUUAGAAGAGGUCCACUAACGCUUAUGUGCGAAACACUGAAGUCCUUAUGAACAAAAAGGAUGUCGACAAAGGAAAUAGAAUAUAGUAAAUGCGCCCUUUUAAAGCCUAGUCGUGCUCAUGGGCCUGGUUUCCCGGUUUCUAUGGCGUAUGUGAUCCCCAGCUGGACGGGAUCCCAAUCCAUCGCAACGUUACUCAUUCUUGCCAGCUGAAUGGAUUGGAGCAACGUGAAAUAAAGUGUUUUGCUCAAGAACACAACGCGUCACCCGGUCCAGGAAUCGAGACCACAAUCUUGCGAUCAUGAUGCCGACACCCUAACCACUAAGCCACGCGCCUGCACCGAAAAAAGAAAUAGGGAACCAAAUAGCAAUAAAUGGCAAAUAAUUUUGAAGAAUUAAAUAAAGAAAAUGAUAAAUAGUUUUAAAGCAUGGAGUGAUUAUAGAAAUACACGUGGACUAAUAACAGGCUGUGUUGUCAAGAGCUGUUUGUGAAGUGGAAUUAAGUAUUAGAGGAUAAUGAUUCGCUGAGGUUCAGAUUAGUAAAGGAAUCAUCGAAAGGGAUUGGACUUGUCUUGUUUGUAAUAGCACUGGUUCCUUCGUCGAUUGUACAGAACCGAGCUACACUAAGAUAUUCACCGGGAAAGUAUGGGGGAAAAUGAACCAUCUGUUUAUGAGCGAUUUGAGACGAGUAUCAAGUUGAUCCAUUAAUGUAAAGUGUAUAUCGCAGUGACAUUUGGAUGGCAUCUGGAAUCGAUAAUUGUACAGCAAUGGAAAGGAACAUGGAAAAAAAAACAUCAUAAAAAUGUUACGGAAAUGGAUGAACCUGAUAGCGAGAAUAUCAAAACCUUUGAUGUAGAAAAAUACAUAGGUAUCUUAGAAUACCGGAUAUUGAUAAAAUCAAAGGUAUGGAACUAAAGAAUGUACUGAAUAAAGAAUAUUAUCAUAGAACGAAGAAUACUUAAAAAUCGAAAGCGAAAGCUUCAAUCAACCUGAGUUCAAUAUUCCUAAUGAGUUGGAAAAAAAGAAUGGAAAGGUAUGAACAGAAGACAAGGAAUCGGUUCACAGGAUACAGAAGCUUGAAUCGUUUGGAAUGGAAAAGAAGAAAAAUAAGAUUGAUGUUCGUGAGAUUUGAAGAUGUAGCAGAUCAAGAGAAAAGAAAUCUAGGAAUAUAUUUAGUAGAAAAAGAAGUACUAGUUAUGGAGGUUAAUAAGUGAAGAGUUAUUUAGAGAUUUAGUUGAGAUUCACACAGAAAGAAAACAAAGCUGAAAAUAGUGAAAGGUUCGAGUAAAGAAGCUUCAUCUAAUGCUUUUCAAAGAGAUAAAGAUGACACGAACGACUGGCUUUGAUUAAAGUAGAAUAAUGAAGAAAGAUACCGAGACGAUGAUUUAAGUAGCAGAAAAUAGGUUUUAAGGGUAAAAUAGACAAAAAGAAUUAUAGGGGUGUUCACUCAAACAUAGAAUGAGUAUCGCUACACACGAGAAUAUAAGCUUACUUUUAAUCGGAGCCCCUUCACUUAGAUCAUCAAAAGAUGACUGAUGAAACUGCUAGAAUAAUUCAUUGGAAUGUUUGCAUCAGGGUCGGAUUCCAACGCACAGAAAAUGGUUCUGGCGACUUUGUAAAAACAGAAAUAGAAAUCUUCAAAGACAAGGAUUGUCAUUACGAAACUUUAGAAUACAAAGCGUGAGUCUGAUGUUAUAAUCGUUCAGAAGAAUUAUUAUUAUUAUUAUUGCUAUUAUUAUUAUUAUUAUUAUCAUUAUUAUUAUUAUUAUUAUUAUUAUUAUUAUUAUUAUUAUUAUUAUUAUUAUUAUUAUUAUUAUUAUUAUUAUUAUUAUUAUUAUUAUUAUUAUUAUUGAGUGAGAGCAGUGUAUGCCAUCAAAGUGACACGGAUAAAAUAUACAAAGUCCAGUAUACCCACAAUGACUACCUGCCUGAUAAGGGUACACCAGGCACAUACAACACAACCAUAUGUGCGCGACAUGGUGAUUUCAUAUCAAGAUAAAUAGCCCAGUUAGAAUUUUCUUCAGAUCGUGUAGCCCACCCCACUCAAAUGGUCCUUGAAUAAGGGUUGUUUAAAGAUAUUGAAUAAAACACCGAUGUUCCCAUAAGUGAAUUAUCCAAACCCCAAAGAAUUCCUCUCAACUACGAUGCUCCCCAACUACUUCUGCUCGAGAUCAGAGAUGCACAUAUCGUCAGCCACAUGGUGAACUGGUUAAGGUCAUACAACUGACAAGCAAAUCUGUGGUAUUGAGCAGAAUAUUUGCUGUAGCCCAUCUUUUAUACCAAGACAUGUACAUGAUAACACUUCCAAUUAGUUAAGAUCAGAAGCCAUGAAAGCCACUGCCCGAUACUGCAUCAGCCUGGCACUGCAUCUGAGCAAUAUUAUUAUCAUCAUCAUCAUCAUCAUUAUUAUUAUUAUUAUUAUUAUUAUUAUUAUUAUUAUUAUUAUUAUUAUUAUUAUUAUUAUUAUUAUCAUCAUCAUCAUUAUCAUUAUUAAAGCCAAGCAAAACUACUAAUAAUAAUACUCCUCUCAACUAUAGGUACAAGCUCCUGAAAUUUGAAAGAGGGUGAUAUCAACUAUCCUCCUGAACUGGUACUUAUAUUAUCGACCCCGAAAGAAUGAAAGGCAAAGUCGACCUCGGUAGAAUUUGUACUCAGAAAGUAAAGACGGGCGAAAUACCGCUAAGCAUUUUCCGCGGAUUGCUAACGCUUCUGGCGGCGCACCCCAUUUUAUUAGUAUUAUUACUGUUAGUAAUGAUAAUAAUACCAACAAUAAUUAUGAUAAUGGUAAUGAUGAUGAUGAUGAUGAUGAUGAUGAUGAUGAUGAUGAAGAUGAUGAUGAUGAUGACGAUGGUGAUGAUGAUGAUGAUGAUGAUGAUGAUGAUGAUGAUGAUGACGAUGAUGAUGAUGAUGAUGAUGAUGAUGAUAUCUUUUGUUGGCCUCAAGGGCCCUACGGGAGUUAAGAAUGGUUUACUGGGAACUAUGCAACAAGUUUCGAUUGGCGGAUGCGAGAAAUUGGUAUGAAUAUGAGCAAAAGGAUGUGUUGGAAAAUGUCAGAGCAAACGUAUUUCGCUAUUUCUUGAUCGAACGUGAUCAUUGAAUCGAUCAUCGAAAAUCUGAUAUUGCACGAAUAGACAAGGGAAACCGCAUGCCCUAGAAAUGGCAGAAUCGUUGAAAAAGAAGCAGAAAGACUGACGCAAUAUGAAGCUCUGAGGAGAGAAAUCAAAAAGCUGUACCAAUGCAAAAAGCGUAUAGUGUUCCAAAAAUUGGGGGAAGCCAGGAAAAGAAAUUGUUGUCAAUGAUAGGAAUAGAAAGGAAAACAGAGCAUAUUUAGAAUUCAGAAGACAGCAUUAAGUGAGAGUGCAAAGAACCACUACAGAGUUCUCGAAACGUGGAAAGAAUGUACCAUUAUAGUAAACGGGAAGGGAACAGCUGGUACAUUAAUGGCACCACCAACAACAAGCUAUGUCAGAUAAAAUGAUGACGAUGAUAAUAAUGAUGGAUUGUCCCGUCGAAGCCAACGUAUGAGCGUUCAGUAUUUGCCGGAUGACGAUUAGCGAUGAAAUGUUCGUGCGGCACAUUGGCUCACACUUUCCAUCAAAUCGACGUUGUCUGAACUAGUGCACAGUGUGCCACCCGUCGGGUGUGGAAGUGAUCACACACACCAACGUGAGAUGAAGUGUUUUGCUCAAGACGCACCAUCCGCUCUAGGAAUUGAAAUCACGGUCGCUAGUUCCAGAAUGUAACACCUUAACCACUAAACCAUGCGCUCUCUGAUAAUAAUAAUAAUAAUAAUAAUAAUAAUAAUAAUAAUAAUAAUAAUAAUAAUAAUAAUAAUAAUUAUAAUAAUAAUAAUAAUAAUAACUGUGCGUACUGGGUAUUUGGGUUGACUGUCAAGUUACAACGAGAACCUCAGACAGACUGCACUUUGCGUAGUUUGCGCGCAGUUGUAAGUGAAGCCGAUUUUUGCAAUUCAUUAAGAUUUUAGGGUAUUUUUAAAACGCCCAGAUGUUGCUUGAAGCUGGAUGGUAUUGAAUCCAAUGCUCUAAUGACAACAGGAACGACCUUUAUGUUUGACUUUUGUAGUUGACAUAUCUUGUCAAUCUAUAGCAUCGCGAUAUUGAAUAUUGUGCGAUGUCUUAUAUGAUAAUAAUAUAAAAAAUGAUUUAUUAAUAACAUCCGUAAGGGAAAUGUUAUGUUUAGAAUAAGCGAAACAAUGCAGACAAACAGAUGACGUAAACAGUGGGAAUUGCACAUCCACAACACCCAGGAAAUAUUUCACGCAUAUUAUGCAGAGUGUGUUAAAUACAAUAGAAAGGAGACAAGUAAAACAAUGCAAAAUAAACUAAAAAAAGAAAAACACAUAAAAACAAAGCAGAAAUAGUAAUAUAGAAAUUGUAAAUAUUUCCAACAAAGCAAGAUAAAUAUUUCAAUUUAUAUUAUAAUUGUCUUUUUAAUGUCACUGAAAUGUAUAAAUAUCGUAGCAUUUCACAUUCGCCCAUUCAGCCAUUUUUGAUGAAGAGAAACUAACAUUAAGUUGAAAAAUAAUCAUUAUUUUCUUUUGAAAUUUGAGAGAAGUUUUCAAAGUGUUAAAUUCUGCCAUUAUUUAAUGAAAAUAAAUUAUUAAUUAAUAUUGAUGAUUCUCCUCUCUCUUUUUCUUUUCCCGGCUUGUUUUCGUUCUGACAGUUUUAAAAUAUGGAGUCGCUGAACUUUAAAAUGAGAUGACAUCGAGAAGCGAAUGUUUUUGUCGACGAAGCUAAUAGCGGUUUGCGAAGACGACGACAGCGACAAUGGUGAUGAUGCUGAUGAUGAUGAUGAUGAUGAUGACUGAUGACGACGACGACGAAGAUAGUGGUGAAGAUGUUAUACAGUGAAAAUUAAGAUCGGGAAGAUAAGGUCGAAUAUGAUCAUCUUAUCGUUAGUGACAAUAACACUAACGAUAAAAAUAAAGACAAAAUUAAAACAAAUGAUGGUGAUGAUCACAGUGACAUUGUGGAUAGUGAUGAUUCCUCUAUAAAGAAAAAAAAAGGUUGAAAGGGGUGAUGAAAUUGUUGCAAAGAGCAAAACAGUUGAACAAGACCGAAAGUAUUGUAGACUUCAAAUGUAUUCGUGAAAAAAUGGAAAGAAAAUUUCGAAAAAAUCAAAAUAAAACCCAUUAAAUAAUUUUAAACUAAAAGAAUCUGGAAGAUCUAAGAAACUUGACAGACUGUGGAAUGAAAUUUGUUUUAAUUAAUUUUUCGGAGAAAAUUGAAUAUACAUAUAUGUACACGUACACACGCACACAAGCAUACACACACACACACACACACACACACACACAUAUAUAUAUAUAUAUAUACACACAUAUAUAUGUAUGUAUGUAUGUAUACAUAAAUGUACACAUGCAUACAUAAACAUACACUGAAUCACAUACAGAUAUGUACAUAUAUCUAUAUCCAACUAUCAUCUAUCUAUGAAUCUCUCUCUCUCUCUCUCUCUCUCUG